GGCUCAGAACGAACGCUGGCGUCAGGCCUAACACAUGCAAGUCGAACGGUAACAGGAAGAAGCUUGCUUCUUUGCUGACGAGUGGCGGACGGGUGAGUAAUGUCUGGGAAACUGCCUGAUGGAGGGGGAUAACUACUGGAAACGGUAGCUAAUACCGCAUAACGUCUCAAGACCAAAGAGGGGGACCUUCGGGUCUCUUGCCAUCGGAUGUGCCCAGAUGGGAUUAGCUAGUAGGUGGGGUAACGGCUCACCUACGCGACGAUCCCUAGCUGGUCUGACAGGAUGACCAGCCACACUGGAACUGAAACACGGUCCACACUCCUACGGGAGGCAGCAGUGGG
This 341-nucleotide ribosomal RNA is filed under the name uncultured Enterobacteriaceae bacterium. RNAcentral describes it as "bacterial SSU rRNA". It matches the Rfam family "Bacterial small subunit ribosomal RNA", at positions 21 to 358 of the family's 1533-position model. The record is from RNAcentral. Lineage: Bacteria; Pseudomonadati; Pseudomonadota; Gammaproteobacteria; Enterobacterales; Enterobacteriaceae.